UGAAUGACUCUCGGCAACGGAUAUCUAGGCUCUUGCAUCGAUGAAGAACGUAGCGAAAUGCGAUACUUGGUGUGAAUUGCAGAAUCCCGUGAACCAUCGAGUCUUUGAACGCAAGUUGCGCCCGAAGCCAUCAGGUUGAGGGCACGUCUGCCUGGGCGUCACAU
This 164-nucleotide ribosomal RNA is filed under the name Astragalus oocalycis. RNAcentral's name for it is "5.8 ribosomal RNA". It matches the Rfam family "5.8S ribosomal RNA". Rfam says of the family: 5.8S ribosomal RNA (5.8S rRNA) is a component of the large subunit of the eukaryotic ribosome. It is transcribed by RNA polymerase I as part of the 45S precursor that also contains 18S and 28S rRNA. Functionally, it is thought that 5.8S rRNA may be involved in ribosome translocation. Lineage: Eukaryota; Viridiplantae; Streptophyta; Magnoliopsida; Fabales; Fabaceae. RNAcentral also lists the same sequence under 18 other names. The record is from RNAcentral.